This 354-nucleotide ribosomal RNA is filed under the name Pseudopedinella elastica. Its description in RNAcentral is "partial Bacterial large subunit ribosomal RNA". It matches the Rfam family "Bacterial large subunit ribosomal RNA", at positions 2516 to 2864 of the family's 2925-position model. Lineage: Eukaryota; Dictyochophyceae; Pedinellales. The record is from RNAcentral.
GUUUGGCACCUCGAUGUCGGCUCAUCUCAUCCUGGGGCUGUAGUCGGUCCCAAGGGUAUGGCUGUUCGCCAUUUAAAGAGGUACGUGAGCUGGGUUUAAAACGUCGUGAGACAGUUUGGUCCCUAUCUGCCGUGGGCGUUGGAAAUUUGAAGGGGGCUGUUCCUAGUACGAGAGGACCGGAAUGGACGUAUCUCUGGUGUACCGGUUGUCACGCCAGUGGCAUUGCCGGGUAGCUAAAUACGGAAGAGAUAAACGCUGAAAGCAUCUAAGCGUGAAACUUGCCUUAAGAUAAGAUUUCCCUGAGGACUUGAUCCUCCUGAAGGGCCGUUGAAGACCACGACGUUGAUAGGCUGG